AACGAACGCUGGCGGCGGGCCUAACACAUGCAAGUCGAGCGAGGACUUCGGUUCUAUCGGCGGACGGCUGGGUAACGCGUGGGAAUGUACCCUUCUCUACGGAAUCCCCCUCUUAAACUUGGCUUAAUACCGCAUACGCUCUUAUGGGGAAAGAUCUAUUGGGGAAGGAUCGGGCCGCGUUGGAUUCGGUGGUUGGGGGGGUAAUGGCCGACCAAGCAGAGGAUGCCUAGCUGGUUGGAGAGGAUGAUCAUCCACACUGGGACUGAGACACGGCCCAGACUCCUACGGGAGGGAGCAGUGGGGAACCUUAGACGAUGGGGGCAAACGUGAUAUAGCCGUGCCGGGGGAGUGAUGAAGGCGUUAGGGUUGUAAAGCUCUUUGAGCUGGGAAGAUAAUGACGGUACCAGCUGAAGAAGCCCCGGCUAACUCCGUG
Molecule: ribosomal RNA, 433 nt
Filed under: uncultured bacterium
Lineage: Bacteria
Description: partial 16S ribosomal RNA
Rfam family: Bacterial small subunit ribosomal RNA
Source: RNAcentral